This 1481-nucleotide long non-coding RNA is filed under the name Anser cygnoides (Swan goose). Its description in RNAcentral is "lncRNA (ENSACDG00005004309.1)". The record is from RNAcentral. Lineage: Eukaryota; Metazoa; Chordata; Aves; Anseriformes; Anatidae.
CGAAAUUUGUCUAUAAAAAUAAUUACUUGGUGCUUGCCUUUAAUUGUUAGGCUCUUUGGCUAAUUUCCAGCAUAUUGCUCAGGGCAUAUUAUGCCUUAAUAAAACAGUGGGCUCAUGUAAGAAAAGCAGUAGUGGUAUUUGGAGGGUGGAAAUUGAUUCAAGAAAGUGUUGCUUCUAAGUUUAUAGGAGAAAGUUUAGUGUUACACUUAUUUGCUUCCACCUAAAUUUUCAGCAGAAACUCUUUGGAAGCAAUUAUGAUUCAUUUUAUGAGAAAAUGGCACGUUAGCACCUUGUUCCCUAAAGAACAAAGCCUAAACUGAAUGAAGUAUAGUAGAUUUCCUGCUGAAUGCGUACUUUUUUUUCUUUUUUUUUUCUUUUUCUUUUUUUUUUUUUUUUUAAUUCAGCUGUCUACCAUUUUAACUUUGGCUUGUAUGUACUCUAGUUGCCCUGGUAUUUCUCUAUAGCUUUAGAAAUGUAUUGAAACUAUGCUAUAAUUGCUGAGGGACAAAAAUAAAUGGAUGUAAAACAAGAUCCUCCACACCAGUGUCAUUCUUGGAGUACAUGUGUUUGAAGUCUAGUGCAUAACUGCUUUGCUAAGGGGUUUUUAUAACAUGGCUGUAAAAACCUGUUCUAAGACGCAUGAUGUCUUGGCCAUAGAGUCAAUGUCUCUUUUUAAUAAAUAUAUAUAUAUUUAAAUUCAAGGAUUCUUAAAGAGAAGUCUGAAUUUCUUUGAUUUUUUUCCCUUUGUUGAACUAUAUGUGUACAUAUGAAGAAAACAAUCGCCAGUAAAGUUCUCCCAUUUUUUCUCAACCUGCUCAGCUGAAACUUUUGUGUUUGUUCCUCGCUCAGCUGGUGUUGUUUCCUGAAAUGCUUCCAGUUCCUGGUGGUGCAGAAUCACUUCUACCACAGCAGCCAGGAUCCUUGGCUGGGACUUUGUAAUUCCAUAACUUGGCUUGACUUGGAGUUGCUUUCCAAGCCUAAUACCAGUACAGUUUCAAAAAUAAGUCUUAAGAAGAUCAGUUACGUGGCCUGCUGUUCUGCUCGCAGCAGUCCAGUGUGUGCUAAAACGUGGUUCCAACAACGCCGCUUUUCAACCACGCGGUUUAAGAAGACGGGAAUCUGCCUGGGUUUGGAAUGGUGGAAAUGGAGCUUUGAGCUGCUUCCUCCUGCAAAAGGAUUGUGCCACAGCAUCUGUCCCCACUUCGUCCCCGAGGGGCUGGCUGGUCACUCCCAUGCGAUUGUAGAAUACCCUCUUUUUUGUGUCAGGAAAACGGAGGGGUUGGGUGUUCAUGACCGGUGAAGCAAUUAGAAUGCAUGUGCCCAGGUGCAUAGAUGAACUUCAGCAGCUCAGAGAGAACCUGCUGGUUACUGAACACCUCAGAGCAACUUGGAUUUCAGCCGUGUUCCAAAGAGUACUUAAGUGUUCUGCAUAAAGUAGACUAAUGUCAAAAGGGGAAAAUAAAUAUACUCCAGUUCCAGCA